UACGUAGGUGGCGAGCGUUGUCCGGAAUCAUUGGGCGUAAAGGGAGCGCAGGCGGGCGUGUAAGUCUUUCUUAAAAGUUCGGGGCUCAACCCCGUGAUGGGAAAGAAACUACAAGUCUUGAGUACAGGAGAGGAAAGCGGAAUUCCCAGUGUAGCGGUGAAAUGCGUAGAUAUUGGGAGGAACACCAGUGGCGAAGGCGGCUUUCUGGACUGCAACUGACGCUGAGGCUCGAAAGCCAGGGGAGCGAACGGG
RNAcentral lists this ribosomal RNA (252 nucleotides) under uncultured bacterium. RNAcentral's name for it is "partial 16S ribosomal RNA". It matches the Rfam family "Bacterial small subunit ribosomal RNA", at positions 524 to 776 of the family's 1533-position model. The record is from RNAcentral.